RNAcentral lists this ribosomal RNA (465 nucleotides) under uncultured bacterium. RNAcentral's name for it is "partial 16S ribosomal RNA". It matches the Rfam family "Bacterial small subunit ribosomal RNA", at positions 338 to 795 of the family's 1533-position model. The record is from RNAcentral.
CCUACGAGAGGCAGCAGUAGGGAAUUUUCGUCAAUGGGCGCAAGCCUGAACGAGCAAUGCCGCGUGAACGAGGAAGGUCUUCGGAUCGUAAAGUUCUGUUGAAGGGGAAAAAGAGCGGAGAGAGGAAAUGCUUUCUGAUUGAUAUUACCCUUCGAGGAAGUCACGGCUAACUACGUGCCAGCAGCCGCGGUAAUAAGGAGGUGGCGAGCGUUAUCCGGAAUGAUUGGGCGUAAGGGGUGCGUAGGCGGCCUGCUAAGUCUGGAGUGAAAGGUACCGGCUCAACCGGUACAGGCUCUGGAAACUGGCGGGCUAGAGGGCAGGAGAGGGCGGUGGAACUCCAUGUGUAGCGGUAAAAUGCGUAGAUAUAUGGAAGAACAUCAGUGGCGAAGGCGGCCGCCUGGCCUGUUAACUGACGCUGAGGCACGAAAGCGUGGGGAGCAAAUAGGAUUAGAUACCCCUGUAGUC